This is a small nucleolar RNA of Vitis riparia (riverbank grape), 188 nucleotides long. RefSeq annotates it as small nucleolar RNA U3. The record is from RefSeq and is a predicted model, not a curated record. The transcript has a single exon. NCBI's taxonomy places the organism in Eukaryota, Viridiplantae, Streptophyta, Magnoliopsida, Vitales, Vitaceae.
AUGACCUUACUUGAACAGGAUCUGUUCUAUAGGUUUUACCUCUGUAUCCUUGAGUUCUAAGGAGACAGGAACUACAAUCUGGUAACCUAUCAAAAAUAUAUAUCCAUAUAUAUUAGUUUUCUUCCAAUAUAAAUGCUUUACUCCGACCUUACCUGUUGGUCAAGUUGGACUUGUGUCUCUGUCAGAUU